AUUGAACGCUGGCGGCAGGCCUAACACAUGCAAGUCGAACGAGUGGAGGCAGGGUGAGUAAUGUCUGGGAAACUGCCCGAUGGAGGGGGAUAACUACUGGAAACGGUAGCUAAUAACGCAUACAAUCUGUUGUGCCCAGAUGGGAUUAGCUUGUAGGUGAGGUAACUGCCCACCUAGGCGCCGAUCCCUAGCUGGUCUGAAAGGAUGACCAGCCACACUGUAACGGAGACACGGUCCAGACUCCUACGGUGGUCAGCAGUGGGGAAUAUGGCACAAUGGGCGCAAGCCUGAUGCAGCCAUGCCGCGUGUAUGAAGAAGGCCUUCGGGGUGUAAAGUACUUUCAGCGGGGAGGCGUUACCCGCAGAAGAAGCACCGGCUAACUCCGUGCCAGCCGCCGCGGUAAUUC
Molecule: ribosomal RNA, 406 nt
Filed under: uncultured bacterium
Lineage: Bacteria
Description: partial 16S ribosomal RNA
Rfam family: Bacterial small subunit ribosomal RNA
Source: RNAcentral